UGCGGACAGUGUCUGGUGGGUAGUUUGACUGGGGCGGUCUCCUCCUAAAGAGUAACGGAGGAGCACGAAGGUUGGCUAAUCCUGGUCGGACAUCAGGAGGUUAGUGCAAUGGCAUAAGCCAGCUUGACUGCGAGCGUGACGGCGCGAGCAGGUGCGAAAGCAGGUCAUAGUGAUCCGGUGGUUCUGAAUGGAAGGGCCAUCGCUCAACGGAUAAAAGGUACUCCGGGGAUAACAGGCUGAUACCGCCCAAGAGUUCAUAUCGACGGCGGUGUUUGGCACCUCGAUGUCGGCUCAUCACAUCCUGGGGCUGAAGUAGGUCCCAAGGGUAUGGCUGUUCGCCAUUUAAAGUGGUACGCGAGCUGGGUUUAGAACGUCGUGAGACAGUUCGGUCCCUAUCUGCCGUGGGCGCUGGAGAACUGAGGGGGGCUGCUCCUAGUACGAGAGGACCGGAGUGGACGCAUCACUGGUGUUCGGGUUGUCAUGCCAAUGGCACU
This 494-nucleotide ribosomal RNA is filed under the name Salmonella enterica. RNAcentral describes it as "partial 23S ribosomal RNA". It matches the Rfam family "Bacterial large subunit ribosomal RNA", at positions 2246 to 2739 of the family's 2925-position model. Lineage: Bacteria; Pseudomonadati; Pseudomonadota; Gammaproteobacteria; Enterobacterales; Enterobacteriaceae. The record is from RNAcentral. RNAcentral also lists the same sequence under 1 other name.